This 482-nucleotide ribosomal RNA is filed under the name uncultured bacterium. RNAcentral describes it as "partial 16S ribosomal RNA". It matches the Rfam family "Bacterial small subunit ribosomal RNA", at positions 30 to 507 of the family's 1533-position model. The record is from RNAcentral.
AUUGAACGCUGGCGGCAUGCCUUACACAUGCAAGUCGAACGGUAACGGGCCUUCGGGUGUCGACGAGUGGCGUACGGGUGAGUAAUACAUCGGAACGUUCUCGAUCGCGGGGGAUAACGAGGCGAAAGCUUUGCUAAUACCGCAUACUAUCUAAGUAUGAAAGCAGGGGAGCGCAAUGGCUGUCGCGGCCGGAGCGGCCGAUGGCAGACUAGGAAGUUGGUGGGCUAAAAGUAUACCAAGCCGACGAUCUGUAGCUGGUCUGAGGGGAUGAUCAGCCACACUGGAGCUGAGGAGCGGCCCCGACUCCUACGGGGGGCAGCAGUGGAGAAUUUUGGACAAUGGACGCAAGCCUGAUACAGCCAUGCCGCGUGCAGGAUGAAGGCCUUCGGGUUGUAAACUGCUUUUGUACGGAACGAAAAGACUUCUUUUAAUACAGGAGGGUCAUGACGGUACCGUAAGAAUAAGCACCGGCUAACUACGUG